AAAUCUGAACAUCAGUGACACAAACACGAUACUUAAGAUAGUUUGGUUAUUCGAUUUAAUUACUGCUCUCGCAGUGUUGUGCACCAACAUGACACAUUGACACGUGAGAGGGGGAAACAUAGACUACAUAUAAACUUGUUAAUAAGCUUCCAAAUAAACUACUCUUUGGAAGAGAGACAUAGAUUGAACCGGAAAUUUCAUCCUUGUUCGCGAGCUCAACAAUCUCCUCAGCUUCUUCUUGCUUUGAUCCUUUCACCAACGCAUAAACCACCUCUGGAAGUGGAACGAUGGGCUCACUCGACACGCAUACGCUUCGUGAAUAUGUCCUUGCAAAGCUCAAAAGCGAAUUUUAAAUUGCCCUUAACUCUUCUCCCACAUCAAAGUGCCCUUUUGUAGACUCAUGUAACAUCGUGUUGAAGGUGAAAACAUCAGGCUUCAGAGACCCUUGUUCACAAUCUCAUCAAGCAACGCAACAGCUUCGGGUAAAGAACCCUUUCUACACAAUCCUUUGACCAAAGCAUUGUAAGAUCUGAUAUCUGGUUUUGAUCGAGAGUUUACUUGGCACCUCCUUGAACACGCCUUCAACCUACUUGUGCAGAUACAUACGUAUAGAUUUAUUAGUCAAAGAAUUUAGAAUUAGAUUCGUUAUAUUUUCUUAUGUAAAUCAGACAUGGACGGACUAAGGUGUUUUCAUAAUAACUUCUUUAGUACCGAUCAAAACUUUAUUUGAAUAUAGCCAGUUGGCAAAAAAAAAGAUAACCGUUCACCUGUUUUCUUUUCAACCACCAGCGUGCAGUGUAUAGUGUAUACACUUGCCUUCUAAGGACAAUAUCAACAAGCAAUAAAACAGAAAAGAAAACAUUAUACUCAUAUUAAUUUUCAAAAAAAAAAAAAAAAAAACAUUAUACUCAUAUUUGAUACCUUGGACUUCCUCUACAACUACAUGAACAGAAAUGGUGUACAAAAGUGAAGCUUAUGUUUCAAACCAACAUUAUUCAGCUGCUUUAAACAAUCAAAACAUCCUUUCAGCUUAUAAGCAGGACAUGCAUGCCGUUUAGUUCCCUACUCUCUAAAUGAAGAAUUAUCUGACUAUUCUCAAUCUAUGACCGACGUCCGUGUCACUUUUGAAACGAAUAGGCGAACUACGCAACGUUUUUAAGCUGAGCUGACGUCAUCAUUAGCAAACCGUUGAUGCACUUAUUCAAUUCAUAAUUUAAGAUUUAGAUACAGUGAUCGAGAUGCUCAUGCACGUGAGGAGCGUGCCAAAAAGUACGAAUCUAUGUUAUACAAUUAUUUGAUCUCAUCUCUCUGAUAAAUCACCCAAUUUUAUUUUUUAUAGAAUCUUAGACCAUCUUUAUCCCAGGUUUCUAACUGGGUUUUUAACAAAAAUAGAUGAUUUAAAUAAAUCAAAAAUAAUUAUAAAGUUCAUUACCGAUCCUUAAGUAAGGAUUCUGGAAACCGAUUUUAAUGGGGGUUUUACAACCACGUGUCAGCAAAGUAAAGGCACCAGAUUUUUUUUUCUAUUUUCUUUUCUCUUUUUUUUUUCUGUUUUCUCAUCUUCUGACGAAAUCCACCACCUCUCCUCUCGGCUUCUCCGUCAGAAACGAUCGACGACUCUGUCGGUCAUCACGGCGUGUCCUCCGUGUUCUCCAUCAGACGAGCACUCGAAACCCACCGAGAUGACAGCAUGAUUUGGAAGCUGAUUACCGCCAGAAGAGGACAGCAUGAUUUGGACGCUGAUUACCGUCAUAAGAGGACAGCUCUCCCACCAAACUCUCUCUUCAAUUCUUCUAUUUUAGAUGCUGUGAAGAGGCAGAUGACUAAGGACGAUGAAAAGCAUCAAAAGGUACAAACUUUUUUAAAACCCAACAAGAUUUGAUUCUUUACUCUUUAUUAUCAUAGAUGAUGACAUGGUAUUGGUCGGUAAGAUUUCAACCUGACGUUACCAUAUCAUGGAGAGACUAUUUCAUUAGAGGAAGGGGAGCUACUUGUGCUGCUUACAGAUGGUAGAAAGCUAAUGGGAACACUCUGUUCUUUUUGAUCAAUUGAGAAGAAGAGGAAGCCCGUCUCUAAGGCAAUCUCAACACACUCCAUUCUCUUUAUCUUUAUGAUGCAUUGUAUUCAAAUUCCAAGUCUUGUGAUGUGGGUUGGAGUUAAAGCGGGUUUAGGAAUUUUCAGCCAUUUCUGAUAUAGAUUAUUUCAUUUUUGGAUGAUGCAUUGUAUUUCAUUUGCAUUGUAUUAAUAAUUUUUUUUUCUAAGAAUCCUUAAUUAAGAAACUUCCAUUGGACCACUCAAAAUGGGAGUUUCUUAACUAAA
Molecule: long non-coding RNA, 2316 nt
Organism: Brassica rapa (field mustard)
Lineage: Eukaryota; Viridiplantae; Streptophyta; Magnoliopsida; Brassicales; Brassicaceae
Source: RefSeq, a predicted model, not a curated record